CGGGUGAGUAACGCGUGAGGAACCUGCCUCAAAAAGGGGGACAACAGUUGGAAACGACUGCUAAUACCGCAUAAGCCCACAGCUCGGCAUCGAGCAGAGGGAAAAGGAGCAAUCCGCUUUGAGAUGGCCUCGCGUCCGAUUAGCUAGUUGGUGAGGUAACGGCCCACCAAGGCGACGAUCGGUAGCCGGACUGAGAGGUUGAACGGCCACAUUGGGACUGAGACACGGCCCAG
This 233-nucleotide ribosomal RNA is filed under the name uncultured bacterium. RNAcentral's name for it is "partial 16S ribosomal RNA". It matches the Rfam family "Bacterial small subunit ribosomal RNA", at positions 103 to 334 of the family's 1533-position model. The record is from RNAcentral.